RNAcentral lists this long non-coding RNA (1279 nucleotides) under Macaca fascicularis (crab-eating macaque). RNAcentral's name for it is "lncRNA (ENSMFAG00000055759.1)". Lineage: Eukaryota; Metazoa; Chordata; Mammalia; Primates; Cercopithecidae. The record is from RNAcentral.
UUUUUUUUUUUUUAAUGGAGAAAGGAACCCAUGAAAGCCAAAGUGACUAAGGGGCCACAAAAAUCAUAAUAUGGCCUGGGGCAGGAGGACAAGGGAUGUAAGGAGGGUGGCAGGUGACUGCCCUGACACCUGGGAGGCUUCCCACAGGGCAGAGAUGACUUCCCGUGGCAACCAGAGCUUGCUGUCAACCAGGCCCCUCACUGGCAGUGCCCAGGGUCCAAUGGAAAGGGGCAGCUGCUGAAUGGGCCCUAGAGUUGUCAUGGCAAUUAUGAUUGACAAUGGAGCAUCCUGUGAAUGCCAGCAAUGAUCCCUAAAAUGACCGCUGCCCUACAGGCUGGGUCCUGCAGGGAACGUUGGCAGGCUGCGCUCAAAAUGAGAAAGGGGGAAGGAGGAGGACUGGAUGCAGGAGUGGGAGGACCUGGUCUCUGUGCCUUUGGGUAGCAGUAAAUGAAUGUAAGUGAGGUCCAGGUGAGCACAUUUAUUUUAUAGUAAAUAUUUGGGUCCUUUUUGAUCUGAAGCUGCACAUCCUUCAUUCUUCUCUAUAAGUGGGGAAAAAAGAGGAGAAGAAAGGGAAGUACCACUCUGGCCUGGCCUAUUUCCCCAGAGCUCACUCUUCGUCUUGCCCUACCAUCUCCCCUUCUUCACCCAGCUCCCAAUGCCCUGUAAGGCCCCAAACUUUGCGUGUGGUGGGUAAGCAGCCCUACCGCAGUCACAGGCCACGUUCACUGAUCCAGAAAUUAAAGUGCCCGGAGAAAACAGGCUAAUCAAAUUAUACAUUCCUAGAACCAUUUAUAAGCCGGGUACAUUCUUUAAUCUUAAUUAGGAAUCUGAGCAGCUCCCACCGUCUCUGUAAUCAACAUUUAAACAGCACUGACCCCCAUGGCGCUAACCUUGAGAGCCACACACAGGUUGGUGAGAAGAGAACUGGGGCUGCCUCCUUGCUGGAGAAGGGGUGUUCGUGGAACUGAGAAAGGCUGGAUCACUCAGCUGCCCCCGCAACACCCCAUGUCUUCCCCUGCCUGAUGACACAUACAUACACACAGUCUCAAUCCAUCUAAUCCACCCACCAACCCCCACGCCCCCAAACCAGGACCAGGUUUAGAACCUUGUGUCUCUCACCUAACAAUUACGAUACUUUUCUAACUCGCCCAUUCUCUAAGCUACAACUCAAUGAUCUUUCUACAGAGCACUUCUGACCAUGUUGGUUCCAAUAAAACUCCUCAAAGUUCCUUAGAGCCUUUAAGACAUAAUCCACACCUGCCUCCCCUGAGCACAGUGC